ACUCCUACGGGAGGCAGCAGUGGGGAAUAUUGGACAAUGGGCGCAAGCCUGAUCCAGCAAUACCGCGUGUGUGAAGAAGGCCUUCGGGUUGUAAAGCACUUUUAUAUGGGGAAGAAGUGUGGUGUGUUAAUAGCACAUUGCAUUGACGGUACCAUAGGAAUAAGCACCGGCUAACUCCGUGCCAGAAGCCGCGGUAAUACGGAGGGUGCGAGCGUUAAUCGGAAUUACUGGGCGUAAAGGGUACGUAGGCGGCUUGAUAAGUCAGAUGUGAAAUCCCGGGCUUAACCUGGGAACUGCAUUUGAAACUG
This 308-nucleotide ribosomal RNA is filed under the name uncultured bacterium. RNAcentral's name for it is "bacterial SSU rRNA". It matches the Rfam family "Bacterial small subunit ribosomal RNA", at positions 335 to 635 of the family's 1533-position model. The record is from RNAcentral.